GGUUGUGGCUCAGCGGUAGAGCGCUCGUCUAGCAUGCGUGAGGCACUGGGCUCAAUCCUCAGCACCA
Molecule: transfer RNA, 67 nt
Filed under: Marmota monax (woodchuck)
Lineage: Eukaryota; Metazoa; Chordata; Mammalia; Rodentia; Sciuridae
Rfam family: tRNA
About the family: Transfer RNA (tRNA) molecules are approximately 80 nucleotides in length. Their secondary structure includes four short double-helical elements and three loops (D, anti-codon, and T loops).
Source: Rfam by way of RNAcentral